UUUAAUUGAAGAGUUUGAUCAUGGCUCAGAUUGAACGCUGGCGGCAGGCUUAACACAUGCAAGUCGAGCGGUAGCACAAGAG
RNAcentral lists this ribosomal RNA (82 nucleotides) under Serratia marcescens. RNAcentral's name for it is "partial 16S ribosomal RNA". It matches the Rfam family "Bacterial small subunit ribosomal RNA", at positions 1 to 80 of the family's 1533-position model. The record is from RNAcentral. Lineage: Bacteria; Pseudomonadati; Pseudomonadota; Gammaproteobacteria; Enterobacterales; Yersiniaceae.